GCCAGGCAUGGUGGCGCAUGCCUGUAAUUCCAGCUACUCGGAGGCUGAGGCAGGGGAAUUACUUGAACCCAGGAGGCAGAGGUUGCAGUGAGCUGAGAUCGCACCACUGCACUCCAGCCUGGGUGACAGAGUAAGAUUCAGUCUCAA
Molecule: unclassified non-coding RNA, 147 nt
Organism: Papio anubis (olive baboon)
Lineage: Eukaryota; Metazoa; Chordata; Mammalia; Primates; Cercopithecidae
Rfam family: Metazoan signal recognition particle RNA
About the family: The signal recognition particle (SRP) is a universally conserved ribonucleoprotein.
Source: Ensembl